CUUUCCCUCUUGCUUCAUGCUUUACACAUGCAAGUCGAACGGCAGCGCGGGCUUCGGCCUGGCGGCGAGUGGCGAACGGGUGAGUAAUACAUCGGAACGUGCCCAGUAGUGGGGGAUAGCUCGGCGAAAGCCGGAUUAAUACCGCAUACGACCUGAGGGUGAAAGCGGGGGAUCUUCGGACCUCGCGCUAUUGGAGCGGCCGAUGGCAGAUUAGCUAGUUGGUGGGGUAAAGGCCUACCAAGGCGACGAUCUGUAGCUGGUCUGAGAGGACGACCAGCCACACUGGGACUGAGACACGGCCCAGACUCCUACGGGAGGCAGCAGUGGGGAAUUUUGGACAAUGGGCGAAAGCCUGAUCCAGCAAUGCCGCGUGUGUGAUGAAGGCCUUCGGGUUGUAAAGCACUUUUGGCGGGAACGAAAAGGACUGUGCCAAUACCACGGUUCGAUGACGGUACCCGCAGAAUAAGCACCGGCUAACUACGUG
This 484-nucleotide ribosomal RNA is filed under the name uncultured bacterium. RNAcentral describes it as "partial 16S ribosomal RNA". It matches the Rfam family "Bacterial small subunit ribosomal RNA", at positions 36 to 507 of the family's 1533-position model. The record is from RNAcentral.